CUUUUUACCCCAUUGUUUAUAUUACCAGCCCUUUUCUAGAUACAGCUUGUACGUGGAGAGCCCCGGCUGAACAAAAUGUUGCUUAGAGAUAUAGCUUCUGCUAUUAGCUGGUGAAGAUGAGUCAUGGAAGCAGCUCACUUGGGGAUAUGACUAGUAGGAGGGCUUUUGAGUUCGGGAGGACACAUGUUAUCAAACCCAAGGGGAGACAUCAGGCCACUAUUGUCAUGGUUGGUGACUGUCUGGGAACCUUCAUUGAAACCUUUAAAGCUUCUUUCCUGCCAUUCUUUGAGGAAAUUUCAAUUUAUGUAACAACAAUGCUGAUACUAUGAUACCUACUUGCCAUUCUUAUUGUAAGCACGCAACGAUGAAAGUUCAGAUGUUAGACAGGCUAGUCUAUGAACUGCAGAUUUUCUGUUUUAUAGAAGACUUGCUGAUUCAAAUCUUUGUCCGAGAGGCUGCCUUGAGGUGGAAAAUAUUGAUCAUUGUACAACUACAUGUUUGAAACUGCUUCAGAAAUAGAGUGAAGCAUGACGAUGUGGAAGAGAGUGAUUUGUUGUGGCUAAAGUCAUUAGUUUUAUGACUAUUCUACACAAAGACGAUCAUUUUGGGUAACUGGGGUACUAAUCAGUCCUCUGGACUGUUCAACUUUUGGCACCCUCCUCCCAAAUGGUACAAAAUAAACAUUGAUGGAUCCCUAUGUAAAUCGAACGAAGCUGGAAUUGGUGGAGCAGUUAGAGAUUGUAAAGGUAGAUUUUUAAUAACCUUUGGCUGUGGUUAUGUUCAUUGGAAUAGUGCACAGUUGGAGCUAUUGGCUUUUAAAUAUUUGAGAAAUUUUAUUCAAGAUUGGAUGUUUGAGGCAAAUGGAAUCAUCAUAGAAGGAGAUAAUCAAAAUGUCAUCAACUUUCUCCAUAAGUUGUAUAGCAUACUGGAGAAGAUGAUGGGAGGACAAAUGAAUGAAGACAUACUAUUCAUGAAGAAGUUCAAUAAUGUUUUUUUAAUUUUGUUAAUCGUCAAUGUAAUAAGUUAGCAAA
This is a long non-coding RNA of Dendrobium catenatum, 1031 nucleotides long. RefSeq lists it as uncharacterized. NCBI's taxonomy places the organism in Eukaryota, Viridiplantae, Streptophyta, Magnoliopsida, Asparagales, Orchidaceae. The record is from RefSeq and is a predicted model, not a curated record. The transcript is spliced from 6 exons.